This 804-nucleotide ribosomal RNA is filed under the name Nocardioides sp. G03 78-22. Its description in RNAcentral is "bacterial SSU rRNA". It matches the Rfam family "Bacterial small subunit ribosomal RNA", at positions 91 to 897 of the family's 1533-position model. The record is from RNAcentral. Lineage: Bacteria; Bacillati; Actinomycetota; Actinomycetes; Propionibacteriales; Nocardioidaceae.
ACGAGCGGCGAACGGGUGAGUAACACGUGAGUAAUCUGCCCCUCACUCUGGGAUAAGCACUCGAAAGGGUGUCUAAUACCGGAUACGACAUACGGCUGCAUGGUCUGUGUGUGGAAACUUUUAUGGGUGGGGGAUGUGCUCGCGGCCUAUCAGCUUGUUGGUGGGGUAAUGGCCUACCAAGGCUUCGACGGGUAGCCGGCCUGAGAGGGUGAUCGGCCACACUGGGACUGAGACACGGCCCAGACUCCUACGGGAGGCAGCAGUGGGGAAUAUUGGACAAUGGGCGGAAGCCUGAUCCAGCAACGCCGCGUGAGGGAUGACGGCCUUCGGGUUGUAAACCUCUUUCAGUAUCGACGAAGCGCCUGUAUGGGUGGUGACGGUAGGUACAGAAGAAGCACCGGCCAACUACGUGCCAGCAGCCGCGGUAAUACGUAGGGUGCGAGCGUUGUCCGGAAUUAUUGGGCGUAAAGGGCUCGUAGGCGGUUUGUCGCGUCGGGAGUGAAAACACUGGGCUUAACCGAGUGCUUGCUUUCGAUACGGGCAGACUAGAGGUAUGCAGGGGAGAACGGAAUUCCUGGUGUAGCGGUGAAAUGCGCAGAUAUCAGGAGGAACACCGGUGGCGAAGGCGGUUCUCUGGGCAUUACCUGACGCUGAGGAGCGAAAGUGUGGGGAGCGAACAGGAUUAGAUACCCUGGUAGUCCACACCGUAAACGUUGGGCGCUAGGUGUGGGGCCUAUUCCAUGGGUUCCGUGCCGCAGCUAACGCAUUAAGCGCCCCGCCUGGGGAGUACGGCCGCAAGGCUAA